AGAGUUUGAUCCUGGCUCAGGACGAACGCUUGCGGCGUGCCUAAGAAAUGCAAGUCGAGCGGAGAGUAGCAAUACUCUUAGCGGCGAACGGUCGCGUAACACGUAAGCAACCUGCCGAAAAGACCGGGACAACCGCCCGAAAGGGCAGCUAAUACCGGAUGUGGCCCUUCUGCUGCAUGGCAGAGGGAUUAAACCCUCGC
This 200-nucleotide ribosomal RNA is filed under the name uncultured bacterium. RNAcentral describes it as "partial 16S ribosomal RNA". It matches the Rfam family "Bacterial small subunit ribosomal RNA", at positions 8 to 212 of the family's 1533-position model. The record is from RNAcentral.